GGCUUGUUUUUUUUAUUUCAGAUUAUAAUAUCACAUAUUAUACUCAUACAUAAACAUAAUCAUAAUAAAAAACAAAUUUAAGAACAGAAAGGGAAGGCAUUAACUUAGGUAGGUAGAAGAUAACGUGAGUGAGACUCAAGUGAUCAAAGUGCAAUAAUUGAAAGGUCAUGGAAGGUGUUGUGCACAAUUUCCAAGCCUUCUGAUGUUCUAGCUGUGCUUGUAGAAAAAGAUAUCCAGAUCAAUCUUAUAGCACGUUCCAAUCUUGCCCUAGUGGAAAGUGUUAAUUCCCUAUUGAACACUAUCUGAGAAAUUCUGAACAAGAAUAAGUUUGAUCGAUAAAGUGCUUCAUUUCUGAAGAGCUUGAAGGAACUCAUCAACAAUUUAAGUAGCACUGAAUAAGCAAAAGUAGCUGCUGUAGCGCUUAAAGUGUGGCUGCUAAGUUGCCAAUGAAGUUUUGCUAUAGCCAUCACCACCAUAUGCACCCCCAUGUGUACCAGUUUGGAGGAUUAAAC
This 512-nucleotide long non-coding RNA is filed under the name Lupinus angustifolius (narrow-leaved blue lupine). Its description in RNAcentral is "long non-coding RNA (LANG_LNC001003)". Lineage: Eukaryota; Viridiplantae; Streptophyta; Magnoliopsida; Fabales; Fabaceae. The record is from RNAcentral.